This 214-nucleotide small RNA is filed under the name Arabidopsis thaliana (thale cress). Its description in RNAcentral is "ATSL027250". The record is from RNAcentral. Lineage: Eukaryota; Viridiplantae; Streptophyta; Magnoliopsida; Brassicales; Brassicaceae.
GAAUAAUCAUACAUUUUUUGCCAACAGUUUAUUUUCCUUUGUCUUCUUUAGGCUCAUCUCCUUCGUUUUCUCCCUUCUAUUUGUUUUUGGGAUAAAAAUUCAAGGUCAAGGAUAUUAGACCUUUGAUCUUUUAUUCUUUUUUGAAGAAUUUAGAUGUGAAACAUGAGUAAAAUCCAUAGGCAUCUUCAACUGAGUUGACAAAAAUAAAAGAAAA